This is a small nuclear RNA of Onychomys torridus (southern grasshopper mouse), 109 nucleotides long. Lineage: Eukaryota; Metazoa; Chordata; Mammalia; Rodentia; Cricetidae. The record is from RefSeq and is a predicted model, not a curated record.
GCGCUCGAUUCGGCAUCACAGAUACUAAAACGUUGGAACGAUACAGAGAAGAUUAGCAUGGCCCCUUCGCAAGGAUGACACGCAAAUUGGUGAAGCGUUCCAUAUUAAA